Suncus etruscus (white-toothed pygmy shrew) is the source of this 104-nucleotide small nuclear RNA. The record is from RefSeq and is a predicted model, not a curated record. NCBI's taxonomy places the organism in Eukaryota, Metazoa, Chordata, Mammalia, Eulipotyphla, Soricidae.
GUGCUCGUUUAGACAGCACAUAUUCUAAAAGUGUAACAAUACAGGGAUUAGCAUGGCCCCUGUGCAAGGGUGACACGCAAAUUCAUGAAGCAUUCCAUAUUUAA